GACGAACGCUGGCGGCGUGCUUAACACAUGCAAGUCGAACGGAAAGGCCCUGCUUUUGUGGGGUGCUCGAGUGGCGAACGGGUGUGUAACACGUGAGUAACCUGCCCUUGACUUUGGGAUAACUUCAGGAAACUGGGGCUAAUACCGGAUAGGAGCUCCUGCUGCAUGGUGGGGGUUGGAAAGUUUCGGCGGUUGGGGAUGGACUCGCGGCUUAUCAGCUUGUUGGUGGGGUAGUGGCUUACCAAGGCUUUGGCGGUUAGCCGGCCUGAGAGGGUGACCGGCCACAUUGGGACUGAGUUACGGCCCAGACUCCUACGGGAGGCAGCAGUGGGGAAUAUUGCACAAUGGGCGGAAGCCUGAUGCAGCAACGCCGCGUGCUGGAUGACGGCCUUCGGGUUGUAAACCGCUUUCGCCUGUGACGAAGCGUGAGUGACGGUAAUGGGUAAAGAAGCACCGGCUAACUACGUG
Molecule: ribosomal RNA, 468 nt
Filed under: uncultured bacterium
Lineage: Bacteria
Description: partial 16S ribosomal RNA
Rfam family: Bacterial small subunit ribosomal RNA
Source: RNAcentral